GACUUAUACCUUCUCAACAGACUCCUGGGAUGGGUGCUACUCUCUGGUCAGGGUAGGAAAAAAGGACUCAUUUACAGCCUCCCUUCAGGCUGCUACAACUUAGAGGAGUGAUCUAACCACGUGACUAAAGUUACAAGGGGACCACCACCUCUUUCUCCUGUGACUGGAUUUUGAACAGGAUCUGAUCUGGAUCUUUGGUGAAGACUCCUGAAGAGUGAUUAGCCGAUGAUAAGCCGAUGGUCAUUCUUAGAGAGGAACAGAUGGAUUCUUUCUAGAUAGAGAAGGCACUUUGGGUGACAGUCAUCAGCAUGACCCAACGCUUGCACCUUAUCUUGAUGGAGGAGAGAGUUUCCAUAGAGCAGAGACAGUGCUCCA
This is a long non-coding RNA of Mauremys reevesii (Reeves's turtle), 375 nucleotides long. RefSeq lists it as uncharacterized. Lineage: Eukaryota; Metazoa; Chordata; Testudines; Geoemydidae. The record is from RefSeq and is a predicted model, not a curated record. The transcript is spliced from 4 exons.